AGGCUCAGGUAAGUCAGUGACAUAGCUUGGAC
This 32-nucleotide non-coding RNA is filed under the name Homo sapiens (human). Lineage: Eukaryota; Metazoa; Chordata; Mammalia; Primates; Hominidae. The record is from RNAcentral.